UACGGAGGUGGCAAGCGUUGUUCGGAAUUACUGGGCGUAAAGGGCGCGUAGGCGGUCAGCACAAGUCAGUUGUGAAAUCUCCGAGCUUAACUCGGAAAGGUCAACUGAUACUGUGCGACUAGAGUGCAGAAGGGGCAACUGGAAUUCCUGGUGUAGCGGUGAAAUGCGCAGAUAUUGGGAGGAACACCAGCGGCGAAGGCGGCACUCUGGGCUGGUACUGACGCUGAGGAGCGAAAGCGUGGGUAGCGAGCAGG
Molecule: ribosomal RNA, 254 nt
Filed under: uncultured bacterium
Lineage: Bacteria
Description: partial 16S ribosomal RNA
Rfam family: Bacterial small subunit ribosomal RNA
Source: RNAcentral